RNAcentral lists this ribosomal RNA (498 nucleotides) under Salmonella enterica subsp. enterica serovar Enteritidis. Its description in RNAcentral is "partial 23S ribosomal RNA". It matches the Rfam family "Bacterial large subunit ribosomal RNA", at positions 735 to 1231 of the family's 2925-position model. Lineage: Bacteria; Pseudomonadati; Pseudomonadota; Gammaproteobacteria; Enterobacterales; Enterobacteriaceae. The record is from RNAcentral.
CAUGGGCAGGUUGAAGGUUGGGUAACACUAACUGGAGGACCGAACCGACUAAUGUUGAAAAAUUAGCGGAUGACCUGUGGCUGGGGGUGAAAGGCCAAUCAAACCGGGAGAUAGCUGGUUCUCCCCGAAAGCUAUUUAGGUAGCGCCUCGUGAAUUCAUCUCCGGGGGUAGAGCACUGUUUCGGCUAGGGGGCCAUCCCGGCUUACCAACCCGAUGCAAACUGCGAAUACCGGAGAAUGUUAUCACGGGAGACACACGGCGGGUGCUAACGUCCGUCGUGAAGAGGGAAACAACCCAGACCGCCAGCUAAGGUCCCAAAGUCAUGGUUAAGUGGGAAACGAUGUGGGAAGGCCCAGACAGCCAGGAUGUUGGCUUAGAAGCAGCCAUCAUUUAAAGAAAGCGUAAUAGCUCACUGGUCGAGUCGGCCUGCGCGGAAGAUGUAACGGGGCUAAACCAUGCACCGAAGCUGCGGCAGCGACACUGUGUGUUGUUGGGUAG